UGGCGAACGGGUGAGUAACGCGUGAGGAACCUGCCUCAAAGAGGGGGACAACAGUUGGAAACGACUGCUAAUACCGCAUAAGCCCACGACCCGGCAUCGGGUAGAGGGAAAAGGAGCAAUCCGCUUUGAGAUGGCCUCGCGUCCGAUUAGCUAGUUGGUGAGGUAAUGGCCCACCAAGGCGACGAUCGGUAGCCGGACUGAGAGGUUGAACGGCCACAUUGGGACUGAGACACGGCCCAG
This 240-nucleotide ribosomal RNA is filed under the name uncultured bacterium. Its description in RNAcentral is "partial 16S ribosomal RNA". It matches the Rfam family "Bacterial small subunit ribosomal RNA", at positions 96 to 334 of the family's 1533-position model. The record is from RNAcentral.